UACGAAGGGGGCUAGCGUUGCUCGGAAUCACUGGGCGUAAAGCGCACGUAGGCGGAUCUUUAAGUCAGGGGUGAAAUCCCAAGGCUCAACCUUGGAACUGCCUUUGAUACUGGGGAUCUCGAGUCCGGAAGAGGUGAGUGGAACUGCGAGUGUAGAGGUGAAAUUCGUAGAUAUUAGGAAGAACACCAGUGGCGAAGGCGGCCAACUGGCCCGAUACUGACGCUCAUGUGCGAAAGCGUGGGGAGCAAACAGG
RNAcentral lists this ribosomal RNA (253 nucleotides) under uncultured bacterium. Its description in RNAcentral is "partial 16S ribosomal RNA". It matches the Rfam family "Bacterial small subunit ribosomal RNA", at positions 524 to 776 of the family's 1533-position model. The record is from RNAcentral.